UGGUGCCAGCAGCCACGGUAAUUCCAGCUCCAAUAGCGUAUAUUAAAGUUGUUGCAGUUAAAAAGCCCGUAGUUGAAUUUCGGAAUCAAUUUGUUGGUCGUGCCUCGGUACGUACUGGUAUUAUUGGUUUCUACCUUCUGAAGAACCUUGAUGUCAUUAAUUUGGUGUCUUGGGGAAUCAGGACUGUUACUUCGAAAAAAUUAGAGUGUUUAAAGCAAGCAUACGCUUGAAUACAUUAGCAUGGAAUAAUGAAAUAGGACGUUUGAUUCUAUUUUGUUGGUUUCUAGGAUCGACGUAAUGAUUAAUAGGGAUAGUUGGGGGCAUUAGUAUUCAAUUGUCAGAGGUGAAAUUCUUGGAUUUAUUGAAGACUAACUACUGCGAAAGCAUUUGCCAAGGAUGUUUUCAUUAAUCAAGAACGAAAGUUAGGGGAUCGAAGACGAUCAGAUACCGUCGUAGUCUUAACCAUAAACUAUGCCGACUAGGGA
Molecule: ribosomal RNA, 485 nt
Filed under: uncultured Glomeromycotina
Lineage: Eukaryota; Fungi; Glomeromycota
Description: SSU rRNA
Rfam family: Eukaryotic small subunit ribosomal RNA
Source: RNAcentral